AUGUGGAUGCCUGGUAAUGAUGGUCACUAUCGUCAACAUUUUGUAAUAACAUACCGCUCAGUGCUUGCUAUAAAUUGGACAAUAGUUGUACAUUCGUUAAAUGAAGGACGCCAUACAGUUCAAGAUCUUUCUGAGAAUAUGGAGUAUAUUGUUUAUAUGUAUGCACGAAAUGAUAUAGGAAAGAGUGAUGACACAGACAAUGUGACAAUUCAAACACUUCAUUCAAAUACAAUGUCUAAAGGACAUUUUCACACAGUUAAAUUAUCUGCUUACAUCGCUGCUUGCUUUUGCUGUGUUUUUAUUCUGCUGCUGGCAUCAGUCUUUUACAUACGGCUUCGAGAAUUCGCUUUCAAAGGACAAAAGAAAACAAAGAUUGAACACAGCAAACAAAGGGAAUAUUGCCAGCAAAAACAUUUAACUGUUUAUGAAGAAGUGAUUUUUAAUCCAGCAGAAAACGGAAAACGGUUCAUCAUAAAUACUAAAGUCGUGGAUGACGAUCUGAAUACGUCUGGUUAAACACUACGUAUUCAAAAGUGAAACUUUGCCCCUAAUCUUUAAAUAACAUUUUAAUCAAAAUUUAAUCAUCGACUUUGAUUACAGCGGUCAUCUCAGUACCAGAGUCUAUGACAAUCGAGAUGAUUUCUAUUUUGAAAUUAUGAAUUUUCCUCACCUUAGCAGCGAUUAUAAGAUUUUUAUAGUGUUGUUUUCAUUUUGUAUACCCUUGUAUUUAUAUUUUGCUUAUUUUGUAUUUUAUCGGGAAAGUGUAUACGUCAUAUGUAUUACAGAGCCCCUUAAGUGCCAUGUAAAUAUAAAUAUUUUCGUUUGUCGGAUAUCAAAUCUGGUGCGCACAAGUUUAAAAAUCGUGCGCACUACUUUGAAACUCGUGCGCACGGUUUUUAAUCUCGUGUGCACGACAUUGUAAAACUGGGGCGCACAACUUUGAAAAACAGGUGCGCACGACUUUUAAACUGGUGCGCAGCAAUUUGAAAGUCGUGAGCACUAGUUGGAAAGUCGUUCGCAUCAGUUUGAAAGUCGUGCGCAUCAUUUUUAAAAGUCUUGCGCAUCAGUUAUUGGAAGCCUUGCGUAUCAGUAAUUGAAGGUUGUGCGCAUCAUUUUGAAGGUUUUUUUUCCAAUUUUUACAAAUAUGAACAAGAAUCUUCGUUUUAUACAUAUGACUGUGCAUGAAAUUUAAUGGAAAUUAGAUGAGACCAUCUUAACUUUUCAAACGACAUAAAACAUAUGCAGAAAAAAAGUCAUGUUUGUUUACAUUUUUAUUUCUCUGAAAUUUCGAGGAGCAUUCUGCCGUUUGUAGUUUUGUAAAAACGGUGUACUUUUAAGCCUUGACUUUUCUUGGAUACUGAUUAUAAUGUUGAACC
Mytilus californianus (California mussel) is the source of this 1376-nucleotide long non-coding RNA. RefSeq lists it as uncharacterized. The transcript is spliced from 4 exons. NCBI's taxonomy places the organism in Eukaryota, Metazoa, Mollusca, Bivalvia, Mytilida, Mytilidae. The record is from RefSeq and is a predicted model, not a curated record.